RNAcentral lists this ribosomal RNA (451 nucleotides) under uncultured soil bacterium. Its description in RNAcentral is "bacterial SSU rRNA". It matches the Rfam family "Bacterial small subunit ribosomal RNA", at positions 26 to 465 of the family's 1533-position model. The record is from RNAcentral.
AGAACGAACGUUGGCGGCGUGGAUUAGGCAUGCAAGUCGAACGAAUCCCAGUGGGGGUAACUCUGCUGGGGGAAGUGGCGAAAGGGGCAGUAAUGCGUGGAUAACCUACCUCCGGGACGGGUAUAGCCAUUCUAACGAGUGGGUAAUCCCCCGGCGAGCUGGUCGAGGGGCAUCUCUUGGCCAGGAAAGGCGUAACGCCUGGGGAGGGUUCACGUGCUAUUAGCUUGUGGCGGGUAACGCCCACAAGGCUAAGAUGGCUAGCGGGUGUGAGAGCACGACCCGCGCCACUGGCACUGAGACACUGGCCAGACUCCUACGGGAGCUGGCAGUCGAGGAUCGUUCGGCAAAUGGGCGCAAGGCCCUAGGACCCGAGGCCGACGCCCGCGUGCGCGAUGAAGGCCGUUCGGGUGUAAAGCGCUGGUCGGAGGGGACGGAAACCCGGCGAACGGUC